Molecule: small RNA, 108 nt
Filed under: Mytilus galloprovincialis (Mediterranean mussel)
Lineage: Eukaryota; Metazoa; Mollusca; Bivalvia; Mytilida; Mytilidae
Source: RNAcentral
AGUUAGGAUGCAGUCAUUGUACGUUUUGUAAAAAAAAACAUAGUCAUAACCCUGAACAUUGGUUUUCUUUUUUUUUACAAAACGUACAAUGACUGCAUUCUAACUUAA